RNAcentral lists this ribosomal RNA (212 nucleotides) under uncultured bacterium. Its description in RNAcentral is "partial 16S ribosomal RNA". It matches the Rfam family "Bacterial small subunit ribosomal RNA", at positions 1289 to 1500 of the family's 1533-position model. The record is from RNAcentral.
CAGUUCGGAUUGUAGGCUGCAACUCGCCUACAUGAAGUUGGAAUCGCUAGUAAUCGCGAAUCAGAAUGUCGCGGUGAAUACGUUCCCGGGUCUUGUACACACCGCCCGUCACACCACGAGAGUUUACAACACCCGAAGUCAGUGGCCUAACCGCAAGGAGGGAGCUGCCUAAGGUGGGGUAGAUGAUUGGGGUGAAGUCGUAACAAGGUAUC